CUUGAUUAGUGGCGCACGGGUGAGUAAUGCAUAGAUAAUGUGCCCCUUAGUUCGGGAUAGCCACUGGAAACGGUGAUUAAUACCGGAUACUCCUUCUUGUUAUAAGACAAGUCGGGAAAGUUUUUCGCUAAGGGAUCAGUCUAUGUUCCAUCAGCUUGUUGGUGAGGUAAUGGCUCACCAAGGCUAUGACGGAUAUCUGGUUUGAGAGGAUGAUCAGACACACUGGAACUGAGACACGGUCCAGACUCCUACGGGAGGCAGCAGUGAGGAAUAUUGCACAAUGGAGGAAACUCUGAUGCAGCAACGCCGCGUGGAGGAUGACGCAUUUCGGUGUGUAAACUCCUUUUAUUAGGGAAGAUAAUGACGGUACCUAAUGAAUAAGCACUGGCUAACUCCGUGCCAGCAGCCGCGGUAAUACGGAGGGUGCAAGCGUUACUCGGAAUCACUGGGCGUAAAGGGUGCGUAGGCUGGCUUUUAAGUCAGAUGUGAAAUCCAAUGGCUCAACCAUUGAACUGCAUUUGAAACUGAAAGCCUAGAGUUCAGAAGGGGCAGAUGGAAUUAGUGGUGUAGGGGUAAAAUCCGUAGAUAUCACUAGGAAUAUCAAAAGCGAAGGCGAUCUGCUGGGAUGAUACUGACG
RNAcentral lists this ribosomal RNA (637 nucleotides) under uncultured bacterium. RNAcentral's name for it is "bacterial SSU rRNA". It matches the Rfam family "Bacterial small subunit ribosomal RNA", at positions 87 to 745 of the family's 1533-position model. The record is from RNAcentral.